UGAGUACGAGCGGCUACGGCCGCGAAGUGGAUGAUGUCAAGCUUCCAAGAAAAGCCUUAUACCCGUUAAGGCAUGAUGGCCUGUACCCGAAACCGACACAGGUGGGGUGGUAGAGAAUACCGAGGGGCGCGAGGUAACUCUCUCUAAGGAACUCGGCAAAAUGGCCCCGUAACUUCGGGAGAAGGGGUGCCACCGCGAGGUGGUCGCAGUGAAGAGGCCCAGGCGACUGUUUACCAAAAACACAGGUCUCCGCUAAGUCGCAAGACGAUGUAUGGGGGCUGACGCCUGCCCAGUGCCGGAAGGUUAAGGAAGCUGGUCAGCGCAAGCGAAGCUGGCGACUGAAGCCCCGGUGAACGGCGGCCGUAACAAUAACGGUCCUAAGGUAGCGAAAUUCCUUGUCGGGUAAGUUCCGACCCGCACGAAAGGCGUAACGAUCUGGGCGCUGUCUCGGAGAGAGGCUCGGCGAAAUAGAAUUGUCUGUGAAGAUGCGGACUACGUGCACCCGGACAGAAAGACCCUAUGAAGCUUUACUGUAGCUUGGUAUUGUGCUCGGGCUCGGAAUGCGCAGGAUAGGUGGGAGGCUUUGAUCCAUUGCUUGCGGGUGAUGGUGAGCCACUGGUGAGAUACCACUCUUUCCGAGCUAGAGUUCUAACAGCAACCCGUUAUCCGGGUGCUGGACAGUAUCAGGUGGGCAGUUUGACUGGGGCGGUCGCCUCCUAAAAGGUAACGGAGGCGCGCAAAGGUCUGCUCAGGCUGGUUGGAAAUCAGCCGACGAGUGUAAAAGCAGAAGCAGGCUUGACUGUGAGACCUACAAGUCGAACAGGGAGGAAACUCGGCUUUAGUGAUCCGACGGUUCUGCGUGGAAGGGCCGUCGCUCAACGGAUAAAAGUUACUCUAAGGAUAACAGGCUGAUCUCCCCCAAGAGUUCACAUCGACGGGGAGGUUUGGCACCUCGAUGUCGGCUCAUCGCAACCUGGGGCUGAAGUCGGUCCCAAGGGUUGGGCUGUUCGCCCAUUAAAGCGGUACGCGAGCUGGGUUCAGAACGUCGUGAGACAGUUCGGUCCAUAUCCGGUGCACGCGCAGGAAUAUUGAGAGGAUUUCUCCCUAGUACGAGAGGACCGGGAGGAACGCACCUCUGGUGUGCCAGUUAUCGUGCCAACGGUAAACGCUGGGUAGCCAUGUGCGGAGUGGAUAACCGCUGAAAGCAUCUAAGUGGGAAGCCCACCUCAAGAUGAGUAUUCCCAUGGCAUAAGCCAGUAAGGUCACGGGAAGAACACCCGUUGAUAGGCUCUACGUGGAAGCGCAGUAAUGUGUGAAGCGGAGGAGUACUAAUAGACCGAGGGCUUGACCC
RNAcentral lists this ribosomal RNA (1351 nucleotides) under metagenome. RNAcentral describes it as "bacterial LSU rRNA". It matches the Rfam family "Bacterial large subunit ribosomal RNA", at positions 1564 to 2925 of the family's 2925-position model. The record is from RNAcentral.